Glycine soja is the source of this 316-nucleotide non-coding RNA. NCBI's taxonomy places the organism in Eukaryota, Viridiplantae, Streptophyta, Magnoliopsida, Fabales, Fabaceae. The record is from Rfam.
AUGCUUAAUACAUCCGCAAGAAAUGUGUUUCCAAUGGAGGACAAGUGAGUAAUGUGUAAAAAUGUACUUUUGAGAAGGAAAUAACAACUAGAAAUGACUAUUUAUACCCUGUAGGUAAAGGGGCAAAAAGAGUAAUUCACCUGAGGAGUGGCUCACAUUCGAAUAACUAGUUAGUGAGAAUUAACUUACCACGGUGACAACUAGUAGUUGGUCCAAGAGGAUGAUUAGGUACAUUGGGAUUGAAACAAAAUUGAGACUCUUAUAAGAGGUAUCAGUGAAGAAUUUUUUGCAAUGGAUGAAUGCUUGACGAAGCAAU